CUUUAUUCAUUUGGUUAUGUUCAAGCUCUAAGAAUCUGCAACCACAUUGAUGCCAACUGAACUAGCCACAUGACGCACACUUCACACACAUGUACACACGUGCACAUACAUACAUACAUACAUACAUACAUACAUACAUACAUACAUACAACGACGCACAUUUUUUGCGAACUAAUACUUCAACAAAGAACUAAGAACAGAAGAAAUCUGCAAUUGAUACACAUGGUGAUUUACGUCGUAAGAAUGUCUGGAAGCUUAAC
Molecule: long non-coding RNA, 260 nt
Filed under: Gossypium barbadense (sea-island cotton)
Lineage: Eukaryota; Viridiplantae; Streptophyta; Magnoliopsida; Malvales; Malvaceae
Description: long non-coding RNA (GBAR_LNC014613)
Source: RNAcentral